Molecule: ribosomal RNA, 467 nt
Filed under: uncultured bacterium
Lineage: Bacteria
Description: partial 16S ribosomal RNA
Rfam family: Bacterial small subunit ribosomal RNA
Source: RNAcentral
GACGAACGCUGGCGGCGUGCUUAACACAUGCAAGUCGAACGGAAAGGCCCUGCUUUUGUGGGGUGCUCGAGUGGCGAACGGGUGAGUAACACGUGAGUAACCUGCCCUUGACUUUGGGAUAACUUCAGGAAACUGGGGCUAAUACCGGAUAGGAGCUCCUGCUGCAUGGUGGGGGUUGGAAAGUUUCGGCGGCUGGGGAUGGACUCGCGGCUUAUCAGCUUGUUGGUGGGGUAGUGGCUUACCAAGGCUUUGACGGGUAGCCGGCCUGAGAGGGUGACCGGCCACAUUGGGACUGAGAUACGGCCCAGACUCCUACGGGAGGCAGCAGUGGGGAAUAUUGCACAAUGGGCGGAAGCCUGAUGCAGCAACGCCGCGUGCGGGAUGACGGCCUUCGGGUUGUAAACCGCUUUCGCCUGUGACGAAGCGUGAGUGACGGUAAUGGGGAAAGAAGCACCGGCUAACUACGU